CUCAUGAAAGCGUCUGAUCACCGUCUUUUUUUUUUUUUUUUGUAAUUAGAGCCAGUCAUAGAUGAUCAACCUUCUUUUAAAAACAACAACAAACAGAAUAAACUGGAUCGCGCUAGCCAGUCGUGAUAUUGAAAUGAGGAGCUGAAUUGAAUGCGGGUUCUGUCUGUGAAGCCGACCAGCAUCCCUCUGCGUCUAUCCCUGCCUGACACAACCUCCGCCCCAUGUGACUAUAAGAAGAAAUGCAAGUGAAGUUCUAAUGAAGUGGUGCUGGAUUGCUGGUCGUAGAAAGGAGAGGAAGGUGGUGAUACAGUGACGUAGGGAGGGGUGCAGGGAGGUGAUGGUGCAUCAAGUCCUGUGAUACAGCAGUGCUGUUCUGAACCUCUUGUUGAAAAGCAGCCCCAUAGCUGUCAGUUUGAAUCCCAUCAGCUUGCCGAGUCGCAGAUAACAGCUAUAGGAACACUGUCUGCUGUUCAAUUCUAUUGAUGUCAUUUAGCA
Molecule: long non-coding RNA, 495 nt
Organism: Polyodon spathula (Mississippi paddlefish)
Lineage: Eukaryota; Metazoa; Chordata; Actinopteri; Acipenseriformes; Polyodontidae
Exons: 3
Source: RefSeq, a predicted model, not a curated record